GACGAACGCUGGCGGCGUGCCUAAUACAUGCAAGUAGAACGAGUUUCGAACGGGUGAGUAAAGCGUAGGUAACUGCCUCAUAGCGGGGGGUAAAUCUUGGGAACGAUAGCUAAUAUCGCACACUGUAAGAUGUACCUGCGUUGUGUUAGCUAGUUGGUGGGGUAAGGGCUCACCAAGGCGACGAUACAUAGCCGACCUGAGAGGUGGAACUGCCACAUUGGGACUGGGACACGGCCCAGACUCCUACGGGAGGCAGCAGUAGGGAAUCUUCCGCAAUGGACGGAAGUCUGACCGAGCAACGCCGCGGUAGUGAAGAAGGUUUUCGGGUCGUAAAGCUCUGUUGUUAGAGAAGCGGUACCUAAACAGAAAGCCACGGCUAACUACGUGCCAGCAGCCGCGGUAAUAC
This 406-nucleotide ribosomal RNA is filed under the name uncultured bacterium. RNAcentral's name for it is "partial 16S ribosomal RNA". It matches the Rfam family "Bacterial small subunit ribosomal RNA", at positions 28 to 526 of the family's 1533-position model. The record is from RNAcentral.